GAGGAAUAUUGGACAAUGGGCGGUAGCCUGAUCCAGCCAUGCCGCGUGCAGGAAGAAUGUCCUAUGGACUGUAAACUGCUUUUGUACGGGAAGAACCGGGGGCACGUGUGCCCCCCUGACGGUACCGUAAGAAUAAGGAUCGGCUAACUCCGUGCCAGCAGCCGCGGUAAUACGGAGGAUCCGAGCGUUAUCCGGAAUCAUUGGGUUUAAAGGGUCCGUAGGCGGGCCGUUAAGUCAGGGGUGAAAGUCUGCGGCUCAACCGUAGAAUUGCCCUUGAUACUGAUGGCCUUGAGUUAUGGUGAAGCAGCCAGAAUAUGUGGUGUAGCGGUGAAAUGCAUAGAUAUCACAUGGAAUACCGAUUGCGAAGGCAGGCUGCUAACCAUAUACUGACGCUGAUGGACGAAAGCGUGGGUAGCGAAC
Molecule: ribosomal RNA, 420 nt
Filed under: uncultured bacterium
Lineage: Bacteria
Description: bacterial SSU rRNA
Rfam family: Bacterial small subunit ribosomal RNA
Source: RNAcentral